Non-coding RNA from Harpia harpyja (harpy eagle), 369 nucleotides. NCBI's taxonomy places the organism in Eukaryota, Metazoa, Chordata, Aves, Accipitriformes, Accipitridae. The record is from the annotation of a RefSeq genome assembly.
UGCACGGUCCACCGAGUCCAGACACCGGGGGGGUCCCUGCGCCUCCUCUGCAAGGGCUCCGGCGUCACCGUCAGCGGCUUCGGCAUGGAGUGGGUGCGACAGGCGCCCGGGAAGGGGCUCGAGUUCGUUGCGGGGAUUAGCUACGAUGGUAGUAGCACCCACUACACGCCGUCGGUCAAAGGACGCUUCACCGUCUCGAGGGACAACUCCCAGAGCACGCUCACGCUGCAGAUGAACAGCCUCAGGGCCGACGACACGGCCACCUACUACUGCGGGAAAUGUGCUUGUGACGGUGAUGGUGGCACCCAGCCCCAACAUCCCAGUGCUCUGUGCCCAGAUCCUGGUGUCUUCCUCAAUCUUCCGCCUUGA